Molecule: ribosomal RNA, 492 nt
Filed under: uncultured bacterium
Lineage: Bacteria
Description: partial 16S ribosomal RNA
Rfam family: Bacterial small subunit ribosomal RNA
Source: RNAcentral
AGUGAACGCUGGCGGUAGGCCUAACACAUGCAAGUCGAACGGCAGCACAGUAAGAGCUUGCUCUUACGGGUGGCGAGUGGCGGACGGGUGAGGAAUACAUCGGAAUCUACUUUUUCGUGGGGGAUAACGUAGGGAAACUUACGCUAAUACCGCAUACGACCUACGGGUGAAAGCAGGGGAUCUUCGGACCUUGCGCGAUUGAAUGAGCCGAUAUCGGAUUAGCUAGUUGGCGGGGUAAAGGCCCACCAAGGCGACGAUCCGUAGCUGGUCUGAGAGGAUGAUCAGCCACACUGGAACUGAGACACGGUCCAGACUCCUACGGGAGGCAGCAGUGGGGAAUAUUAGACAAUGGGGGCAAGCCUGAUCCAGCCAUACCGCGUGGGUGAAGAAGGCCUUCGGGUUGUAAAGCCCUUUUGUUGGGAAAGAAAAGCAGCAGGUUAAUACCCCGCUGUUCUGACGGUACCCAAAGAAUAAGCACCGGCUAACUUCGUG